This 700-nucleotide long non-coding RNA is filed under the name Carica papaya (papaya). Its description in RNAcentral is "long non-coding RNA (CPAP_LNC004863)". The record is from RNAcentral. Lineage: Eukaryota; Viridiplantae; Streptophyta; Magnoliopsida; Brassicales; Caricaceae.
ACUAAUAUGUUUUCAUAGAAAGAACAUGCAUAAACACAUGAAUUAGGAAACAAAAAUUUGAAAAUGGUUUAUAUAACAAACGGAGCUUACAUUUAAGAGAAAGUUGAAGGCAUGGGGUAAGGAGAGUUUUGGGAAUAUGAGGGAGAAAGCAUGUUCUCUUUAAACAAAUUAGUCUUCUUUAUAGAUUGGCUUCUAAAAGAGGUAUGCUGAGGAUCAACAAGUCAGCUUGUCUUUGAGCAAUGAGUUUGAGGAGGUCCUCCUGAGGGGAAGAGAUUAUUUUAAGAUGGAAAUCUAGAUUUAAAUCAAUCAAAAAGAUUAUCUAUGAAUACGUUUAAAUCUAUGUUCUUUCAUAAGGUGGCCAUUGAGAGGAGGGACAAGAUUUAAUCAAGGAACUGGAUCUUAAGGUUAGUAGAAUUGUUAGGGACUGUACUUCUAUUUGUGUGCAACACUAGUAUUUAAGAGGUUUUAUAAGGAGGAAGAUGGUAAUAAACCUUCAAGCAAAGGUUUGGAGUGCCUCCCUUUAGAGCUUGGUAAAGCUACAUGUCUUAAGAGACUUUUUAAGGAGUCAAUGGUUAGGUAAGCUGUUUAGGAACUAGGUUUGGAUAAGUUUCCAGCACUUAUGGCUUUUUUAUUGCUUUUUCCUAGAGAUGCUUGGACUUUGUUAGGGAGAACUAUAAAAGCUUUGAUGAAUUCCACCUUC